RNAcentral lists this ribosomal RNA (67 nucleotides) under uncultured Clavariaceae. Its description in RNAcentral is "partial 5.8S ribosomal RNA". It matches the Rfam family "5.8S ribosomal RNA", at positions 49 to 115 of the family's 154-position model. Rfam says of the family: 5.8S ribosomal RNA (5.8S rRNA) is a component of the large subunit of the eukaryotic ribosome. Lineage: Eukaryota; Fungi; Basidiomycota; Agaricomycetes; Agaricales; Clavariaceae. The record is from RNAcentral.
CGAAUUGCGUUAUGUAAUGUGAAUUNCAGAAUUCAGUGAAUCAUCGAAUCUUUGAACGCACAUUGCA